UGUCUUCGCUGCCUGGAUGCCAACGCUGGCCUGUCCAAGACUUAUCGCUUCUCCGAGCUAUGCUUUCUGUGAUGCCAGCCUUCCAGUCUCAGCCUGUGCCUAAGCAUGGUCCCCAGCCGCACCCUGGCAUGGGGUGGACUUGAGGACGCCCAUAUGGAAAGAAGGACUUUUAUUGAAGAGAGAAGCUGCCGCCUACAUCCUGUGGAAACAGCCAAGGCAGUAAAUCCAGCCGGUGGGCAGACUGAAGGGCAGCCAACACUGCCAACAGGAGCUAUCUUUGGACCACCUUCUCAUGAAAUUUGUGGACUGGCCACUGGAUGCAUGGUCGUGACAUUUUCCCCCAUUAAUCUGUUGAUGCUCAGCAUAUUAGAGUGCAUUGGGUGUCUCUAGAAGGUGUCACUUCUGACAUCACGGUCAUCAUCACCACCUCCAUCAUCAUCUUUUUAAAAAACCUGCUAAAAGAGUCAA
Long non-coding RNA from Mus musculus (house mouse), 468 nucleotides. RefSeq annotates it as predicted gene, 30456. The record is from RefSeq and is a predicted model, not a curated record. Lineage: Eukaryota; Metazoa; Chordata; Mammalia; Rodentia; Muridae. The transcript has 2 exons.